Molecule: ribosomal RNA, 1512 nt
Filed under: Triticum aestivum (bread wheat)
Lineage: Eukaryota; Viridiplantae; Streptophyta; Magnoliopsida; Poales; Poaceae
Description: partial small subunit ribosomal RNA
Source: RNAcentral
AUGUCCCGCCACCCCGCUCGCCACUUCCUCCCGUUGCUUCGCCGCCGCCACCUCCACCAUUCGGUCCAUCUCCCCUACACAUCCGUGCCCAUUCCCCCCGACGCGAUCCCCUCCACCUCCAUCCCGUCGUCCACGUCCCCGCCGCCGUUUCAUCCCGCGCCCUGGCCGCAGUCGUGUUCGCCCACCUCCACGCCGCUCCCGCCUUUCACGGCCUCCCACCUCCGCGCGGCCGUCUCCUCCCUCGCCGCCUCUCUUCUGGCUCUGCCCGACCCGGAUCCCGACCCCCUGCCCGCCCUCCACGCCCAUUCAUUCCCCACCAUCCUCGCAGUCUCACCGCUCGCCUCCCUCGAGCUCCUGUCCCUCCUCCGCCCCAAGCCCUACCUCGGCCUCGCGGUCUUUUCGUUUCGCCGCACGCUUUCGCCGCCGCCCACGCUCCCCGAGUUUGUCUUCGCCAUCUCGCUUGCCAGCCGCGCCCGCGACCCCACCGCCGCGGCCAACAUCUUCACCGACGCCUCCAGCGCCUACUGCCCCGACCAGGCGCUCUACAAUGCCCUCAUGGCCGCCUACAUGCACAGUGGCCUUGUGAAUAGCUGCGUCGAGGCCUUCCACGCGCUGCGGCGUGAUCCACGGUGUGGUCCGCCCAAUGCGGACUCCUUCAACAUCCUCAUCGCUCUCUUCGGUCGCUCCCUCCUCGUCGACCACAUGGAGGCUACACUCCAGUCGCUGGAUGCCUCAGGACAGCCCCGUACAAUUGGUACCUAUAACGCAGUCAUCGCUGGCUACCUCACGGCAUGGAUGUGGGACAAGAUGGAAGCAGUGUUCCAUGAAAUGAUGCCAGGUGGAGUUGUUCCAGACACCACUACACAUUUGUUGAUGUUAAGAGGUUACUCACAUGCUGGGAAGAUUUAUAAGAUGGAGCUGGCUUAUGAGCGUGCUCGUGAGCAUGCUGGCGAGGUUGAUAUAGUGCAUAUACGUGCAAUGCUAUGUGCAUAUUGCAAGUUUAAACAUGUAGAUAGGAUUCAAAAGAUCGAGGAGUUGCUUCUGAAGUUGCGUCCUGAGGAUUAUAGGCCCUGGCUCAAUGUGUUGUUAAUUAGUGUGUAUGCCAAGGAGGGGUUGGUUGAGGGGAUGGAAAGAAGGAUCGCUGAGGCAUUGGAACGCAAUACCACAGUCACCACAACACAUGUGAUGCGGUCCGUCAUAACCAACUAUUUCCAGUGUGACGCUGUCGACAGACUCGCACACUUUGUCCGGCAGGCUGAGGAGGCCGGAUGGAAGCUGUGCCGGAGUUUAUACCACUGCAAGAUGGUGAUGUAUGGGAAGCACCAUCGACUUGCAGAGAUGCAUGGGGUGUUGGAUGAGAUGGAGUAUUUUAGGUUUGACCGGACAAAGAAGACCUUCUGGAUUCUGCACAAAGCAUAUCUGAGCUGUGGAAGAAGAUCUGAGGCUGAUACGAUACUUGGCAUGAUGUGGAAGCACGGUUUUGGAUCCCCUUCUGGCGUAUUUUUUCAAUAA